CUACGGGGAUGAGCUGCGGGAACUCUCUCUUUCUGAAGCUUCCGUGGAGAAACCCUUUACCAGAUUCUGAGUAGC
This 75-nucleotide small nucleolar RNA is filed under the name Varanus komodoensis (Komodo dragon). Its description in RNAcentral is "Small nucleolar RNA SNORD26 (ENSVKKG00000016823.1)". It matches the Rfam family "Small nucleolar RNA SNORD26". From Rfam's summary of the family: U26 is a member of the C/D class of snoRNA which contain the C (UGAUGA) and D (CUGA) box motifs. The record is from Rfam by way of RNAcentral. Lineage: Eukaryota; Metazoa; Chordata; Lepidosauria; Squamata; Varanidae.